Molecule: ribosomal RNA, 2542 nt
Filed under: Shigella sonnei
Lineage: Bacteria; Pseudomonadati; Pseudomonadota; Gammaproteobacteria; Enterobacterales; Enterobacteriaceae
Description: partial 23S ribosomal RNA
Rfam family: Bacterial large subunit ribosomal RNA
Source: RNAcentral
AUAUUGUGAGCUUGAUGAGUAGGGCGGGACACGUGGUAUCCUGUCUGAAUAUGGGGGGACCAUCCUCCAAGGCUAAAUACUCCUGACUGACCGAUAGUGAACCAGUACCGUGAGGGAAAGGCGAAAAGAACCCCGGCGAGGGGAGUGAAAAAGAACCUGAAACCGUGUACGUACAAGCAGUGGGAGCACGCUUAGGCGUGUGACUGCGUACCUUUUGUAUAAUGGGUCAGCGACUUAUAUUCUGUAGCAAGGUUAACCGAAUAGGGGAGCCGAAGGGAAACCGAGUCUUAACUGGGCGUUAAGUUGCAGGGUAUAGACCCGAAACCCGGUGAUCUAGCCAUGGGCAGGUUGAAGGUUGGGUAACACUAACUGGAGGACCGAACCGACUAAUGUUGAAAAAUUAGCGGAUGACUUGUGGCUGGGGGUGAAAGGCCAAUCAAACCGGGAGAUAGCUGGUUCUCCCCGAAAGCUAUUUAGGUAGCGCCUCGUGAAUUCAUCUCCGGGGGUAGAGCACUGUUUCGGCAAGGGGGUCAUCCCGACUUACCAACCCGAUGCAAACUGCGAAUACCGGAGAAUGUUAUCACGGGAGACACACGGCGGGUGCUAACGUCCGUCGUGAAGAGGGAAACAACCCAGACCGCCAGCUAAGGUCCCAAAGUCAUGGUUAAGUGGGAAACGAUGUGGGAAGGCCCAGACAGCCAGGAUGUUGGCUUAGAAGCAGCCAUCAUUUAAAGAAAGCGUAAUAGCUCACUGGUCGAGUCGGCCUGCGCGGAAGAUGUAACGGGGCUAAACCAUGCACCGAAGCUGCGGCAGCGACGCUUAUGCGUUGUUGGGUAGGGGAGCGUUCUGUAAGCCUGCGAAGGUGUGCUGUGAGGCAUGCUGGAGGUAUCAGAAGUGCGAAUGCUGACAUAAGUAACGAUAAAGCGGGUGAAAAGCCCGCUCGCCGGAAGACCAAGGGUUCCUGUCCAACGUUAAUCGGGGCAGGGUGAGUCGACCCCUAAGGCGAGGCCGAAAGGCGUAGUCGAUGGGAAACAGGUUAAUAUUCCUGUACUUGGUGUUACUGCGAAGGGGGGACGGAGAAGGCUAUGUUGGCCGGGCGACGGUUGUCCCGGUUUAAGCGUGUAGGCUGGUUUUCCAGGCAAAUCCGGAAAAUCAAGGCUGAGGCGUGAUGACGAGGCACUACGGUGCUGAAGCAACAAAUGCCCUGCUUCCAGGAAAAGCCUCUAAGCAUCAGGUAACAUCAAAUCGUACCCCAAACCGACACAGGUGGUCAGGUAGAGAAUACCAAGGCGCUUGAGAGAACUCGGGUGAAGGAACUAGGCAAAAUGGUGCCGUAACUUCGGGAGAAGGCACGCUGAUAUGUAGGUGAAGUCCCUUGCGGAUGGAGCUGAAAUCAGUCGAAGAUACCAGCUGGCUGCAACUGUUUAUUAAAAACACAGCACUGUGCAAACACGAAAGUGGACGUAUACGGUGUGACGCCUGCCCGGUGCCGGAAGGUUAAUUGAUGGGGUCAGCGCAAGCGAAGCUCUUGAUCGAAGCCCCGGUAAACGGCGGCCGUAACUAUAACGGUCCUAAGGUAGCGAAAUUCCUUGUCGGGUAAGUUCCGACCUGCACGAAUGGCGUAAUGAUGGCCAGGCUGUCUCCACCCGAGACUCAGUGAAAUUGAACUCGCUGUGAAGAUGCAGUGUACCCGCGGCAAGACGGAAAGACCCCGUGAACCUUUACUAUAGCUUGACACUGAACAUUGAGCCUUGAUGUGUAGGAUAGGUGGGAGGCUUUGAAGUGUGGACGCCAGUCUGCAUGGAGCCGGCCUUGAAAUACCACCCUUUAAUGUUUGAUGUUCUAACGUGGACCCGUGAUCCGGGUUGCGGACAGUGUCUGGUGGGUAGUUUGACUGGGGCGGUCUCCUCCUAAAGAGUAACGGAGGAGCACGAAGGUUGGCUAAUCCUGGUCGGACAUCAGGAGGUUAGUGCAAUGGCAUAAGCCAGCUUGACUGCGAGCGUGACGGCGCGAGCAGGUGCGAAAGCAGGUCAUAGUGAUCCGGUGGUUCUGAAUGGAAGGGCCAUCGCUCAACGGAUAAAAGGUACUCCGGGGAUAACAGGCUGAUACCGCCCAAGAGUUCAUAUCGACGGCGGUGUUUGGCACCUCGAUGUCGGCUCAUCACAUCCUGGGGCUGAAGUAGGUCCCAAGGGUAUGGCUGUUCGCCAUUUAAAGUGGUACGCGAGCUGGGUUUAGAACGUCGUGAGACAGUUCGGUCCCUAUCUGCCGUGGGCGCUGGAGAACUGAGGGGGGCUGCUCCUAGUACGAGAGGACCGGAGUGGACGCAUCACUGGUGUUCGGGUUGUCAUGCCAAUGGCACUGCCCGGUAGCUAAAUGCGGAAGAGAUAAGUGCUGAAAGCAUCUAAGCACGAAACUUGCCCCGAGAUGAGUUCUCCCUGACCCUUUAAGGGUCCUGAAGGAACGUUGAAGACGACGACGUUGAUAGGCCGGGUGUGUAAGCGCAGCGAUGCGUUGAGCUAACCGGUACUAAUGAACCGUGAGG